RNAcentral lists this ribosomal RNA (477 nucleotides) under uncultured Halorhabdus sp. RNAcentral's name for it is "bacterial SSU rRNA". It matches the Rfam family "Archaeal small subunit ribosomal RNA", at positions 380 to 856 of the family's 1478-position model. The record is from RNAcentral. Lineage: Archaea; Methanobacteriati; Methanobacteriota; Halobacteria; Halobacteriales; Haloarculaceae.
UCCGAGUGCGAGGGCAUAUAGUCCUCGCUUUUCUGUACCGUAAGGUGGUACAGGAAUAAGGGCUGGGCAAGACCGGUGCCAGCCGCCGCGGUAAUACCGGCAGCCCGAGUGAUGGCCGCUAUUAUUGGGCCUAAAGCGUCCGUAGCCGGCCAGACAAGUCCGUUGGGAAAUCCACGCGCUUAACGCGUGGACGUCCGGCGGAAACUGUCUGGCUUGGGGCCGGAAGAUCUGAGGGGUACGUCCGGGGUAGGAGUGAAAUCCCGUAAUCCUGGACGGACCGCCGGUGGCGAAAGCGCCUCAGAAAGACGGACCCGACGGUGAGGGACGAAAGCUAGGGUCUCGAACCGGAUUAGAUACCCGGGUAGUCCUAGCCGUAAACGAUGCUCGCUAGGUGUGGCGCAGGCUACGAGCCUGCGCUGUGCCGUAGGGAAGCCGUGAAGCGAGCCGCCUGGGAAGUACGUCUGCAAGGAUGAAACU